GACUACCCUAGGCUUCCCUUUAAGCCCAGCAGAUUUAGUCUUGCUGCGACCCCAACCCAACCCAAACCCGAAAGCCCUAACCCUAAUCUUUCUUCCCCAAUUCCGGCGGGUGCUAAGGUGUGGCCUUCUUCGUUCACCGAGGAAGAGGACGACGAGUUACUUCCUUUCACCGGUAAUAACCUUCGAUGUCCUCACGGAAGUAACCAAUAAGAGGGCUCUCGUGACUAAAUCGAGAGGCCUCUCCAUCUAGCAUUUGCGUUAUUGCAUUGCCCGGUAACAAGUGUCGGUGCGUGCUCCAUCGAUCUCUGCUCCUGUUCUUCCCUCAGCCCCCUCGCUCUCACCUGCUGCACUACUCAGCUCACUCGCGUUGCGUAGGUCACAAUUCACACCGCAGCGCAUCAUACGCAAUAAAAUUUCUCUUAGCUUUCGUUCGGAAGCAGAGAUGAAGUAGUUUUUUUCUUUACAUGGUAUAGAGGGGGUUUGUUGAGACCACGAUCGAUGCUACUUUCUCGCCAGUGAUAAGUGGUUGCCUUUAUAAGUUUAUCUUAUGUAUAUAACUAUAGUCUUUAGGUUUGUUAAGUUGGUGCCGCCCUGAUCGAAGCAGAGAUGCCACACGAAUAUGCCCUCCUCCGUCCAUAGCGCCAUCACCUGCGUAACUUCAGAUGGCGCCGCACUGUUGAGACAAUUACGCCGGGUUGUGUUGUCAUGAGUGUUCCAAAUAUAACACGCCGAGAUACCCUCCAACUUUGCCAUAUCCUAUCCUAACACACGGUAUGAUCCAAUUAAAGCUAGCUAGUAUUACAUCACAUACAGGUUAAUCAUCAGGUAUACAUAGCAGGGUGAAAAACAGGCCAAUUGGUUCGUGCAAGGAAUCAAAAGAGUAGAUCAAUGCUGCCAUGAAGUAGAUGCCUGGCGACUGACUGCACCUAAUAUGGCCAAACAGGCCUUCGGUUCUCCCUCUUGGUUUCCACGGCCAAUAGGACUGUAGGAGCCUAGCUAGUGGAUAAGGAUGGACAGUCAGCAUGCAUAAAACAUCCAUCCAGUAGAUAAACAAAUAGGAAAAAGAACUGCUAAUGUCAGAUCUGUUUGGUCUGAUUUUUUCAAAGGAGAUGGUAGAAAAAGGAGGACCAAUGCUUGGUGAAGGGGACCAAUCCAUCUGGUUGUUGUGUAUGUGCACCAGCUAGAGACACUCGAUCUAAAACGUCUUACUUAC
RNAcentral lists this long non-coding RNA (1213 nucleotides) under Setaria viridis. RNAcentral's name for it is "long non-coding RNA (SVIR_LNC011214)". The record is from RNAcentral. Lineage: Eukaryota; Viridiplantae; Streptophyta; Magnoliopsida; Poales; Poaceae.